UCCGUAGGGUGCAAGCGUUAAUCGGAAUUGCUGGGCGUAAAGCGUGCGUAGGCGGUUAUGUAAGACCGGUGCGAAAUCCCCGGGCUUAACCUGGGAACUGCAUUUGUGACUGCAUAGCUAGAGUACGGUAGAGGGGGAUGGAAUUCCGCGUGUAGCAGUGAAAUGCGUAGAUAUGCGGAGGAACACCGAUGGCGAAGGCAAUCCCCUGGACCUGUACUGACGCUCAUGCACGAAAGCGUGGGGAGCAAACAGG
Molecule: ribosomal RNA, 253 nt
Filed under: uncultured bacterium
Lineage: Bacteria
Description: partial 16S ribosomal RNA
Rfam family: Bacterial small subunit ribosomal RNA
Source: RNAcentral